RNAcentral lists this ribosomal RNA (497 nucleotides) under uncultured bacterium. RNAcentral describes it as "partial 16S ribosomal RNA". It matches the Rfam family "Bacterial small subunit ribosomal RNA", at positions 28 to 507 of the family's 1533-position model. The record is from RNAcentral.
GAUGAACGCUGGCGGCGUGCCUAAUACAUGCAAGUCGAGCGAACAGACGAGGAGCUUGCUCCUCUGACGUUAGCGGCGGACGGGUGAGUAACACGUGGAUAACCUACCUAUAAGACUGGGAUAACUUCGGGAAACCGGAGCUAAUACCGGAUAAUAUAUUGAACCGCAUGGUUCAAUAGUGAAAGACGGUUUUGCUGUCACUUAUAGAUGGAUCCGCGCCGCAUUAGCUAGUUGGUAAGGUAACGGCUUACCAAGGCAACGAUGCGUAGCCGACCUGAGAGGGUGAUCGGCCACACUGGAACUGAGACACGGUCCAGACUCCUACGGGAGGCAGCAGUAGGGAAUCUUCCGCAAUGGGCGAAAGGCUGGCGGAGCAACGCCGCGUAAGUGAUGAAGGUCUUCGGAUCGUAAUACUCUGUUAUUAGGGAAGAACAAAUGUGUAAGUAACUAUGCACGUCUUGACGGUACCUAAUCAGAAAGCCACGGCUAACUACGUG